GAGUAACACGUAUGCAACCUGCCCUCCACAGGGGGACAACCUUCCGAAAGGGAGGCUAAUCCCGCGUAAAUCUCCUGGAGGCAUCUCCGGGGGAGGAAAACUCCGGUGGUGGAGGAUGGGCAUGCGGCGCAUUAGGCAGUCGGCGGGGUAACGGCCCACCGAACCGACGAUGCGUAGGGGUUCUGAGAGGAAGGUCCCCCACACUGGUACUGAGACACGGACCAGACUCCUACGGGAGGCAGCAGUGAGGAAUAUUGGUCAAUGGACGCGAGUCUGAACCAGCCAAGCCGCGUGAAGGAUUAAGGCCCUACGGGUCGUAAACUUCUUUUGUCAGGGAACAAAAGUGGGGACGAGUCCCCAUCUGCGUGUACCUGAAGAAAAAGCAUCGGCUAACUCCGUG
This 400-nucleotide ribosomal RNA is filed under the name uncultured bacterium. RNAcentral describes it as "bacterial SSU rRNA". It matches the Rfam family "Bacterial small subunit ribosomal RNA", at positions 108 to 507 of the family's 1533-position model. The record is from RNAcentral.